This 385-nucleotide unclassified non-coding RNA is filed under the name soil metagenome. RNAcentral's name for it is "partial contains 5.8S ribosomal RNA, internal transcribed spacer 2, and large subunit ribosomal RNA". The stretch from base 1 to 120 matches the Rfam family "5.8S ribosomal RNA", at positions 35 to 154 of the family's 154-position model. The record is from RNAcentral.
GAUGAAGAACGCAGCGAAGUGCGAUAAGUAAUGUGAAUUGCAGAAUUCCGUGAAUCAUCGAAUCUUUGAACGCAAAUUGCACUCUCUGGCAACCCGGGGAGUAUGCCUGUUUGAGGGUCAGUGUUAAUAAAAAUCGGGUUCGUUGCAAUUUUUGUGACGUUUCCGGAGUUUGAGUUAUCUUAACUUCGGUUUUUAAGAGGCUUAAAAUUGACCUUUUUUUGUGCAUUUUAGACGUACAUAAAUUUUUUUUUAUUCGCCUAUCCUAAUGCCAAAAUCUAUUAGAUGCGACCAUAUCUUGUGGUUCCGUGUCUAUAAAUUUUUCAUGAUUUGACCUCGAAUCAGGUAGGAACACCCGCUGAACUUAAGCAUAUCAAUAAGCGGAGGA